RNAcentral lists this non-coding RNA (29 nucleotides) under Mus musculus (house mouse). The record is from RNAcentral. Lineage: Eukaryota; Metazoa; Chordata; Mammalia; Rodentia; Muridae.
UGGUAAGACUUGCUUGUCCUUCACUCAGG